RNAcentral lists this ribosomal RNA (800 nucleotides) under uncultured bacterium. RNAcentral's name for it is "bacterial SSU rRNA". It matches the Rfam family "Bacterial small subunit ribosomal RNA", at positions 41 to 803 of the family's 1533-position model. The record is from RNAcentral.
GGGGGGCCAAAAAUGGCAGUCGAGCGAGCUUGCCUAGAUGAUUUUAGUGCUCGCACUAAAUGAAACUAGAUACAAGCGAGCGGCGGACGGGUGAGUAACACGUGGGUAACCUGCCCAAGAGACUGGGAUAACACCUGGAAACAGAUGCUAAUACCGGAUAACAACACUAGACGCAUGUCUAGAGUUUGAAAGAUGGUUCUGCUAUCACUCUUGGAUGGACCUGCGGUGCAUUAGCUAGUUGGUAAGGUAACGGCUUACCAAGGCAAUGAUGCAUAGCCGAGUUGAGAGACUGAUCGGCCACAUUGGGACUGAGACACGGCCCAAACUCCUACGGGAGGCAGCAGUAGGGAAUCUUCCACAAUGGACGAAAGUCUGAUGGAGCAACGCCGCGUGAGUGAAGAAGGGUUUCGGCUCGUAAAGCUCUGUUGGUAGUGAAGAAAGAUAGAGGUAGUAACUGGCCUUUAUUUGACGGUAAUUACUUAGAAAGUCACGGCUAACUACGUGCCAGCAGCCGCGGUAAUACGUAGGUGGCAAGCGUUGUCCGGAUUUAUUGGGCGUAAAGCGAGUGCAGGCGGUUCAAUAAGUCUGAUGUGAAAGCCUUCGGCUCAACCGGAGAAUUGCAUCAGAAACUGUUGAACUUGAGUGCAGAAGAGGAGAGUGGAACUCCAUGUGUAGCGGUGAAAUGCGUAGAUAUAUGGAAGAACACCAGUGGCGAAGGCGGCUCUCUGGUCUGCAACUGACGCUGAGGCUCGAAAGCAUGGGUAGCGAACAGGAUUAGAUACCCUGGUAGUCCAUGCCGU